CAAUAGCGUAUAUUUAAGUUGUUGCAGUUAAAAAGCUCGUAGUUGGAUUUCGGUUAAGAGCGACCGGUCCGCCGUUUGGUGUGCACUGGUUGGUUUUAACUUCCUGUAGAGGACGUGCUCUGGGUUUAACGACCUGGACUCGGAGUCUACGUGGUUACUUUGAAAAAAUUAGAGUGUUCAAAGCGGGCUUACGCUUGAAUAUUUCAGUAUGGAAUAACACUAUAGGACUCCUGUCCUAUUUCGUUGGUCUCGGGACGGGAGUAAUGAUUAAGAGGAACAGUUGGGGGCAUUCGUAUUUCAUUGUCAGAGGUGAAAUUCUUGGAUUUAUGAAAGACGAACUUCUGCGAAAGCAUUUGCCAAGGAUGUUUUCAUUAA
This 375-nucleotide ribosomal RNA is filed under the name uncultured eukaryote. RNAcentral's name for it is "partial 18S ribosomal RNA". It matches the Rfam family "Eukaryotic small subunit ribosomal RNA", at positions 592 to 976 of the family's 1831-position model. The record is from RNAcentral.